Molecule: non-coding RNA, 1016 nt
Organism: Schizosaccharomyces pombe (fission yeast)
Lineage: Eukaryota; Fungi; Ascomycota; Schizosaccharomycetes; Schizosaccharomycetales; Schizosaccharomycetaceae
Source: the annotation of a GenBank genome assembly
GCGUAAACAAAAAAUUUAGACUCAUUCAAAGAUGUAAGUUCCAUCGUCAAAUUAUAUUACCAAGUUAUUUUGAUAAUGAGUAUGGUGCCUUGAAUUAUAGAUUAAAAAAUGUAUCACCGAAUUUAUUUUUAAUAAUGAGUCGAUCUGACAUAUUAGAAUCAAGGAAUAAUAAUAUGCAUUGAUGUUUUAUGAAGGAAUUACAGCUGUAGAACCUAUGUAUACAAACUUCAAACUUUUAAAGAUGAGAACGAUAUAUUUUUUUCGUUUUCCAGAAAAGCCAUGCUUGAAGUAUUUAUCAAGAUGUUCGGUAGUGUCAAUUUAAUAAUCAUAUGUGCGACUUUGACUUUGACAUGCAGCAAGAAGUUGUUGACACCAACCUAUCUGCUUGAAAAGUGAUACUCGUUUGCAAUACUUAAAUAUAUAUAUAUAUAUAUCAGUGAUCGCAAGUCAGUUUUGAAUGCAGGAUUGGUAAACAAGGGUCGCAAGUUAAUAUAUUUAUAUAGCUGUCUGCUGUAACAGUUUAACAUACAACCUUGAAACUGUAAAACAUUGAAUAUUUUUCAUUGUUAAAGCCAAUUUAAAUGAGAACGAUUAUUGUGUUACGAGGUAAGCAUUUAAUUCCAAAAUCCCUAUGUAUUCUUGUAGUAUAAAGUAAUUUGAAUGACAAAUCAGUAGAUUCUUCCAUAAUUGCAAGUAGGAUGCCAGUCCCAAACCUUUAAUUCCUAGCUCAAAAGCACAAUUGUUCAGUUCACACUUUUGUUAACUUCCGGAAUUUGUUAUUGUAAAAUAAUUGUCUCCUCAUAAUUUUAAAAAAUUACAUCUCAUUGCUGACUGAGAACUCUCAUCAUACUGGUCAAUUUUAAAUUGUGCUGAAAGCCUUAUAAUCACAAAUAUUCAUGUUUAAUCGAAUUUUUUUGGUUUUCUUCACUAUGGUGCAUCAAUAAUAUUUUUAGUACAGUACAAUCACACCCACCUUUGAAUUCUAAACUUUGACCUUCAAAUGCAAAUAAAAAAUU